CCUGUCUCCCUGGCCACCCCCUCCUGUUGCCAUGGCUUCCAUGACUGAGAGGGUAGCUGGCAGAGGGAGAGCAGAAAGGUUAGACUGGUGACAGGACUUCCUGGAGAAGGGAGAAGAUGAGGCUCCAAGGCUGCGGUGGGGUGUGAGACGGAGAAGAAAGCCCCCACGCUCCCCACUCUCCUGCCAGAAGCCAGGAUCCAGAUUGAUGCUCCCGUGCCCCCAGGCUUGAAUCUGAACCCUGGCCUCUCACUCUGCCUCCUGUUCUUUACUAGAACCCCUUUCCUCUCC
Long non-coding RNA from Neofelis nebulosa (Clouded leopard), 288 nucleotides. RefSeq lists it as uncharacterized. The record is from RefSeq and is a predicted model, not a curated record. NCBI's taxonomy places the organism in Eukaryota, Metazoa, Chordata, Mammalia, Carnivora, Felidae. The transcript is spliced from 2 exons.